This 632-nucleotide ribosomal RNA is filed under the name uncultured Acinetobacter sp. RNAcentral describes it as "bacterial SSU rRNA". It matches the Rfam family "Bacterial small subunit ribosomal RNA", at positions 567 to 1198 of the family's 1533-position model. The record is from RNAcentral. Lineage: Bacteria; Pseudomonadati; Pseudomonadota; Gammaproteobacteria; Moraxellales; Moraxellaceae.
GCGCGUAGGUGGCCAAUUAAGUCAAAUGUGAAAUCCCCGAGCUUAACUUGGGAAUUGCAUUCGAUACUGGUUGGCUAGAGUAUGGGAGAGGAUGGUAGAAUUCCAGGUGUAGCGGUGAAAUGCGUAGAGAUCUGGAGGAAUACCGAUGGCGAAGGCAGCCAUCUGGCCUAAUACUGACACUGAGGUGCGAAAGCAUGGGGAGCAAACAGGAUUAGAUACCCUGGUAGUCCAUGCCGUAAACGAUGUCUACUAGCCGUUGGGGCCUUUGAGGCUUUAGUGGCGCAGCUAACGCGAUAAGUAGACCGCCUGGGGAGUACGGUCGCAAGACUAAAACUCAAAUGAAUUGACGGGGGCCCGCACAAGCGGUGGAGCAUGUGGUUUAAUUCGAUGCAACGCGAAGAACCUUACCUGGUCUUGACAUAGUAAGAACUUUCCAGAGAUGGAUCGGUGCCUUCGGGAACUUACAUACAGGUGCUGCAUGGCUGUCGUCAGCUCGUGUCGUGAGAUGUUGGGUUAAGUCCCGCAACGAGCGCAACCCUUUUCCUUAUUUGCCAGCGGGUUAAGCCGGGAACUUUAAGGAUACUGCCAGUGACAAACUGGAGGAAGGCGGGGACGACGUCAAGUCAUCAUGG